Molecule: non-coding RNA, 635 nt
Organism: Chelonoidis abingdonii (Abingdon island giant tortoise)
Lineage: Eukaryota; Metazoa; Chordata; Testudines; Testudinidae
Source: RefSeq, a predicted model, not a curated record
AACAGAGCGUGUUUGCAUAGACACACCUACUCUGCCUAGACUGUGCAGUGAUGCCCCCCUCACCCCAGGCCUCUGGAGCCUUUGGAGCAGAAAGAUCCCAGGAGCUGAGGAUGAAUCCAGGGAUUGCCAGCUGCUUUUCAACUGCAAUGUGGAGACUGUUUGUGUUUGGGGAGAAACAGUGUGUGUGUUGGGGAACAGUGAAUGUGUUGAGGUAGGUAGGAACAGAUCAUUAUUAUCCCUACUUGAAAGAAAGAGAAGCUAAGGCUGAGAAAGGAGAAUUGACUUGUCUUAGGUCACACAGCCAGUCAGUGGCAAAGUUGGGAAUAGGACCCAAGAGCCCUGAUUUUCAAACUAACCAUUGGAUCUUGAAUUUCAGACAUUGAAUGACCUGAAUAACGUGCUCUCAGAUGAGCUCCAGACCAACAACAGUGCACAGUAAUUAUUCAGCAAUAUUUUAGGAGAACUGGAAUGCUGGAGAGAAUCAUGAACUGCUCAGAGACAAUUAAUGCAGAGAAGCAGCAAAAUUCAUCAAACAUAGAACUGAUUAUGACUUAUUUCCUUGGUCUUAAAAGAGAACAACAAGGACCUGAGUCUCCUCCCUGUCAAUAACCCCCUGCUCAGCCAAUCAGGGUAGA